This 234-nucleotide unclassified non-coding RNA is filed under the name Hevea brasiliensis (rubber tree). Lineage: Eukaryota; Viridiplantae; Streptophyta; Magnoliopsida; Malpighiales; Euphorbiaceae. The record is from RNAcentral.
AUGAGUAAGUUAUGUGUGUGGUAAGGGCUCCCGGCCCUAUCUUGGUAUUAGAGCAUGGUUAUACUUGUAUGGUACAUACUUCGACGGCGAGUAAGGAGAAUCUCUCUCAAAUAUGUCUUGCCAAACACCUACUCUUUCUUCUCAAACAGUUUUACAACAUCCUAUACCUUCUGAAAUUGUAAACCUUACUUCUUCUCUCUCUUUCUCUUCUCCCCUAAGAAGAACUCUUUCUUC